This 410-nucleotide ribosomal RNA is filed under the name bacterium. Its description in RNAcentral is "partial 16S ribosomal RNA". It matches the Rfam family "Bacterial small subunit ribosomal RNA", at positions 355 to 776 of the family's 1533-position model. The record is from RNAcentral.
GGGGGAAUUUUGCACAAUGGGCGGAAGCCUGAUGCAGCGACGCCGUGUGGGGGAUGAAGGCCUUCGGGUUGUAAACUCCUUUCGUCAGGGACGAAGUUUGUUUGACGGUACCUGGAUAAGAAGCACCGGCUAACUACGUGCCAGCAGCCGCGGUAAUACGUAGGGUGCGAGCGUUGUCCGGAUUUACUGGGCGUAAAGGGCUCGUAGGUGGUGUGUUGCGUCGUCUGUGUAAUCCAGGGGCUUAACUUUUGGUUUGCAGGCGAUACGGGCAUUGAUUGAGUGCUGUAGGGGAGACUGGAAUUCCUGGUGUAGCGGUGAAAUGCGCAGAUAUCAGGAGGAACACCGAUGGCGAAGGCAGGUCUCUGGGCAGUUACUGACGCUGAGGAGCGAGAGAAUGGGUAGCGAACAGG